GACGAACGCUGGCGGCGUGCUUAACACAUGCAAGUCGAGCGGUAAGGCCCUUUCGGGGGUACACGAGCGGCGAACGGGUGAGUAACACGUGGGUGACCUGCCCUCAGCUCUGGGAUAAGCCUGGGAAACUGGGUCUAAUACCGGAUAUGACUCCAUGACGCAUGUUGUGGGGUGGAAAGCCUUGUGCGGCUGAGGAUGGGCCCGCGGCCUAUCAGCUUGUUGGUGGGG
Molecule: ribosomal RNA, 228 nt
Filed under: uncultured bacterium
Lineage: Bacteria
Description: partial 16S ribosomal RNA
Rfam family: Bacterial small subunit ribosomal RNA
Source: RNAcentral